GGGCCCGCACAAGCGGUGGAGUAUGUGGUUUAAUUCGAUGCAACGCGAAGAACCUUACCAGGGUUUGACAUCCUGCGAAUCUCUUGGAAACGAGAGAGUGCCUUCGGGAACGCAGUGACAGGUGGUGCAUGGCUGUCGUCAGCUCGUGUCGUGAGAUGUUGGGUUAAGUCCCGCAACGAGCGCAACCCACGUCUUUAGUUGCCAGCAUUUAGUUGGGCACUCUAGAGAGACUGCCGGUGAUAAACCGGAGGAAGGUGGGGAUGACGUCAAGUCCUCAUGGCCCUUACGUGUUGGGCUACACACGUGCUACAAUGGUAUCUACAACAGGAAGCAAAACGGCGACGUUUAGCAAAUCCUUAAAAGAUACCUCAGUUCGGAUUGCACUCUGCAACUCGAGUGCAUGAAGCUGGAAUUACUAGUAAUCG
This 425-nucleotide ribosomal RNA is filed under the name uncultured bacterium. RNAcentral's name for it is "bacterial SSU rRNA". It matches the Rfam family "Bacterial small subunit ribosomal RNA", at positions 917 to 1344 of the family's 1533-position model. The record is from RNAcentral.